Brachypodium distachyon (stiff brome) is the source of this 94-nucleotide non-coding RNA. NCBI's taxonomy places the organism in Eukaryota, Viridiplantae, Streptophyta, Magnoliopsida, Poales, Poaceae. The record is from Rfam.
AACAUACUCCCUCCGUCCCAAAUUAACUGACGUGGAUUUGUAUAGAUUUUUAUACAAAUCCACGUCAGUUAAUUCGGGACGGAGGGAGUAGAUU